Molecule: unclassified non-coding RNA, 285 nt
Filed under: plant metagenome
Description: partial contains small subunit ribosomal RNA, internal transcribed spacer 1, and 5.8S ribosomal RNA
Rfam family: Eukaryotic small subunit ribosomal RNA (bases 1-54)
Source: RNAcentral
GGAAGUAAAAGUCGUAACAAGGUUUCCGUAGGUGAACCUGCGGAAGGAUCAUUAUUGUAUAACCGGGGUGCGAGGGCUGUCGCUGACCCGAAAGGUCGUGCACGCCCGAGUGCCCUCACACACUUCCAUCUCACCCCUAUGUGCACCACCGCGUGGGUCCCCCUUUGGCUUGUUCGGAGGGGGGCUUACGUUUUCACACAAACUUUGUAUGCAGUGUAGAAUGUAUUUUUUGUUUUUGCGAUCACGCAAUCAAUACAACUUUUAACAACGGAUCUCUUGGCUCUC